AGAAACUAAUAUACACACUGUUACCUCUCAAACAGUUAAAGUUAACGGCUGUUUUUAACGGAUGUGUGGGCCAGAGUUACAAACUGAAAGCUAAUCGAAACUUAGGGUUACAAACUACCACGUUUCAAAGUAUGGGGUCUGAUUUGCUAAUGAGCCAAAAUAUGGGGUUACAAAGUGCAAUAAGCUCUUCGUUUUUCCAUUCACACACAUAUAUGAUGAUCUUUAAUUUUCAGAUUAGAAUUUAUAUGAGAAAAACAGCAAAAUAAAGAAAUAGUUUGAGACGGAUAAGGAUAGAAAUAAAACUAUAAAUGGGCUUCUGAGGAGAUAGCAAAUGACCGAGCGAGCAUCUAGAUAUAUGUUGCCGGGUUUCUUUGCUUUCAAAGUCAGUUCUGGCCUUCUCGGAUUCUAAAAUUUUGAAAAAUAUUUAUAUAUUUUUAAAUUUUGUGAAAACACUUUUAUAAUUUUAUAAAAUUUUGAAUGGUAAAAAAAUUAGGAGAUACAAAUAUUCUCAUGCCUCUUACUGGAUACGCCCCAGGGGAGCAGGUUUAUCUUCCAAUUCGAUUUUUGUAAUUGUCUUCCCCAGGGGAGCAGGUUUAUCUUCCAAUUCGAUUUUUGUAAUUGUCUUCCCCAGGGGAGCAGGUUUAUCUUCCAAUUCGAUUUUUGUAAUUGUCUGACCGCAGAAAUUCAGAUACACUAGUACACAUCUGGCACGUACAACCUUAAAAGUAGACAGACCCUAAUCAAAUAGAAUUGACAACAUUUU
This 763-nucleotide long non-coding RNA is filed under the name Daucus carota (carrot). RNAcentral describes it as "long non-coding RNA (DCAR_LNC004628)". The record is from RNAcentral. Lineage: Eukaryota; Viridiplantae; Streptophyta; Magnoliopsida; Apiales; Apiaceae.